GCGUUGUUCGGAAUUACUGGGCGUAAAGCGCACGUAGGCGGAUCUUUAAGUCAGGGGUGAAAUCCCAAGGCUCAACCUUGGAACUGCCUUUGAUACUGGGGAUCUCGAGUCCGGAAGAGGUGAGUGGAACUGCGAGUGUAGAGGUGAAAUUCGUAGAUAUUCGCAAGAACACCAGUGGCGAAGGCGGCUCACUGGUCCGGUACUGACGCUGAGGUGCGAAAGCGUGGGGAGCAAACAGG
This 239-nucleotide ribosomal RNA is filed under the name uncultured bacterium. RNAcentral's name for it is "partial 16S ribosomal RNA". It matches the Rfam family "Bacterial small subunit ribosomal RNA", at positions 538 to 776 of the family's 1533-position model. The record is from RNAcentral.